GUGAAUCAUCGAAUCUUUGAACGCAAAUUGCACUCUCUUCUGAGAGUAUGCCUGUGUGAGGUUCAGCCUAAAUAAAAUCGACAUAGUUGCUGUUACGCGUUAACAUUCGUCGGGAGUUGUGUCAUCUUAAACCUUUGGCUUGAAGUGGCUUAAAAUGUUCUUUACUAUUCCAAGAACGUCUCUAUGUUUUUAUUUUCUUAUACGUUUAAGUUAUCAUUCUUU
RNAcentral lists this unclassified non-coding RNA (222 nucleotides) under Glomus sp. RNAcentral's name for it is "partial contains 5.8S ribosomal RNA and internal transcribed spacer 2". The stretch from base 1 to 65 matches the Rfam family "5.8S ribosomal RNA", at positions 84 to 154 of the family's 154-position model. The record is from RNAcentral. Lineage: Eukaryota; Fungi; Glomeromycota; Glomeromycetes; Glomerales; Glomeraceae.